Molecule: transfer RNA, 76 nt
Filed under: Cotesia glomerata
Lineage: Eukaryota; Metazoa; Arthropoda; Insecta; Hymenoptera; Braconidae
Description: tRNA-Thr
Source: RNAcentral
GACCCGGUAGCUUAACUGGUAGAGCUCCUGACACGUUAUCAGGGAGAUCCAGGUUCGAUUUCUGACUUGGCAACCA